This 978-nucleotide long non-coding RNA is filed under the name Panax ginseng (ginseng). Its description in RNAcentral is "long non-coding RNA (PGIN_LNC018065)". The record is from RNAcentral. Lineage: Eukaryota; Viridiplantae; Streptophyta; Magnoliopsida; Apiales; Araliaceae.
UGAAAGUCUGUCUUACUAAGACUCUAUAUUUCUCUACUUCUCACGUAGGCACACACAAUACAUGCACAAACACACACAUAACUGUAACCAAUCAAACACUCGCAAAUCAAACUCAAACUAUUUUUGUUUUGGAUUAUGUUAAUAUUGCUACAACUUGGAUUAUGAUACUGGUUGGUUGUUCAGGUUUCAAUUGAUGCAAAUACUGCUUCGAGAAGAAAACACAUGUAAUUAAAACACAUGUAAUUAGAUUGGAUUAUUUAUAAUUUGUGCUACUAUCUUGGGUUACAGUUCACUAUGUGUAACAAACUAAAAAUUUGAUCUUUAUGGGAAAAAAAUUAUUUGGAGUCACGCAAUGGGUACUAUUAGGCGCAAAUCCUCGUUGGGAGCAAGGGGUCUAACUAAUACAAUCACAUCAUGUAAAAUCGUGACCUGCCUUUUUCCUUACCAUCCCACUUUAAAAUUCUUUUGGAGCAUAUUCUGAAAACACGUAAUUAUAAUCCAUAAAAUUAAGCCUGACUGUCAACUCGCAUCCCCCAUUCCAGUUCCAUAGUACCCAUUGUGUGCAACCAAAUAAUUUUUUUUGCAUAAAGAUCAAAUUUUAGUUUGUUACACAUAGUAAACUGUAACCCAAUAUAGUAGCACAAAUUAACAAUAAUCUAAUCUAAUUACAUGUGUUUUCUCCUUCAAAGCAAUAUUUGCAGCAAUUGAAACCUGAACUACCAACCAGUAUCAUAAUCCAAGUUGUAGCAAUAUUAAAAUAAUCCAAAACAAAAAUGGUGGGAGUUUGAUUUGCGAGUGUUUGAUUGGUUAUAGUUAUGUAUGUGUUUGUGCAUGUAUUGUGUGUGUUGUGUGUUUUGUGUCUGCGUGAGAAGUAAAGAAAUAUAGUCUUAGUAAGACAAACUUUCACACCUAGACAUUUGUCUGGUCAGUGGUGGGUUAGUCAUCGUCAAAGGUGGACAGGUCGGUACUGGAUUGCAU